This is a long non-coding RNA of Nanorana parkeri, 99 nucleotides long. RefSeq lists it as uncharacterized. The transcript is spliced from 3 exons. The record is from RefSeq and is a predicted model, not a curated record. Lineage: Eukaryota; Metazoa; Chordata; Amphibia; Anura; Dicroglossidae.
ACUUUGAUCCAUAGGCACUUAGGGACAGCAUCUGACUUUCCUAUGUGCAAAGUCUGUGGCAAGGGGGGUGAUGGACAAGCCAUCACUCGUCUAACGUAC